AUGAGUAGGACAUAAAUCACCAUGAACAUGAAUAUCAUAGAGGCUAUGUUGAUUUUGUUUCAACUACAUGCGUGAACAUGCGCCAAGUCAAGCUACUUGUAUCAUUCAAAGGAGGAUACCAUCCUAUCAUACUACAUCAUAGUCAUCUCAACAUUCAUGUGAGCAUCCAAGACAAACCAUUAUAAGCUCCUAGCUAAUUAAGCAUGGC
RNAcentral lists this long non-coding RNA (208 nucleotides) under Hordeum vulgare. RNAcentral's name for it is "long non-coding RNA (HVUL_LNC003493)". The record is from RNAcentral. Lineage: Eukaryota; Viridiplantae; Streptophyta; Magnoliopsida; Poales; Poaceae.